UUGUUUCCGUCUUUGUAUACAAAAUAUGUCCCAAGGAAGAAAUAUAUUUUUUUUAUAUAUAACAUGUGAAGAAUUUAGGGGGACAACUGGAUUGUUAUGAGGAAAAUCUGCGUUAUGCGAGAUUAUUAAGGGGACAAGCUGAUUUUUUAUCUGGCAAAACUUUUUUAUAGGUCCAAAUGGAUAAAUUCGAGCACAGCGCAAGACAUUGCACGGAUUUAAGCAAAACUGAAGAUAUCAUACCCCGAGAUAAUGUCACUGAAGCCCAAUAAUGUCGAAAUGUUGACAUUCCUUAACAUGAGCUUCUGGAUCCGAAGAAACAUUGACUUGUAACAUGUAACCUGGAACUUUUUAUUUUUAGUUAGCUAUGAACAAGUUACAUUUUACUUGUGUGUCAUUGCUUAAGGAUGUAAAAAAUCAAUUAUUCAUAAAUAAUUAAUGUUUUUUCGUUAUGUGCAGUGCUUUAUUAUCCCAAGUAAUCCAAAUGGAUAAAUUCGAGCACAGACAUUGCACGGAUUUAAGCAAAUCUGAAGAAAUCAAAUCACGGAAAUGAGCUUCACUAAAGCCCAAGAAUGUCGAAAUGUUGACAUUCCUCAACAUGAGCUUCUGGAUCCGAAGAAACAUUGACUUGUAACUUAUAACCAGGAACUUUUUAUUUUUAGUUAGUUACGAAUUGUGUGACAUUGCUUAAGGACGUAAAAAAUCAAUUAUUCAUAAAUAAUUAAUGUUUUUUUCGUUAUGUGCAGUGCUUUAUUAUCCCAAGUUGUUACGGACCUGGUGUCUUGAUAGGGCAAGGCCGUCUGGUCAGUCCAGCUCAUGGUAGUGUUCUUUCCUGCCUUCAGUCCACACAACAGCCCAGCUGAUCAGCGAUCUCAGAUUGACGAAAUCAAAACGAAACAAAAUGUAAAAAAUAAUUGCUUGUGUUUGUCUGGGCUUAUAGGAAAAUUAAUAUAUUCUUUAAGAUAUUCAUACAUCUGUGCACUCCAUUAAGAAUUAUUUUAAAGAUUUAAUUUUACAUCUCCACUUGGUAUCAAAAAUGAUUCGAGACCUCCACAAAUUUGCAUAUUUUUCUCAUUAGGUUUUUUUUAUUUUGCUUUUUAUUUUAUGU
Molecule: long non-coding RNA, 1105 nt
Organism: Drosophila gunungcola (fruit fly)
Lineage: Eukaryota; Metazoa; Arthropoda; Insecta; Diptera; Drosophilidae
Exons: 3
Source: RefSeq, a predicted model, not a curated record